RNAcentral lists this ribosomal RNA (406 nucleotides) under uncultured bacterium. RNAcentral's name for it is "partial 16S ribosomal RNA". It matches the Rfam family "Bacterial small subunit ribosomal RNA", at positions 30 to 526 of the family's 1533-position model. The record is from RNAcentral.
AUUGAACGCUGGCGGCAGGCUUAACACAUGCAAGUCGAGCGAGCGGCGGACGGGUGAGUAAUGUCUGGGAAACUGCCUGAUGGAGGGGGAUAACUACUGGAAACGGUAGCUAAUACCGCAUACCAUCAGAUGUGCCCAGAUGGGAUUAGCUAGUAGGUGGGUUAAUGGCUCACCUAGGCGACGAUCCCUAGCUGGUCUGAGAGGAUGACCAGGCACACUGGAACUGAGAAACGGGCGAGAAUCCUACGGGAGGCAGCAGUGGGGAAUAUUGCAAAAGGGGCGCAAGCCUGAUGCAGCAAUGCCGAGUGUGUGAAGAAGGCCUUCGGGUUGUAAAGCAAUUUCAGCGAGGAGGCGUUACUCGCAGAAGAAGCACCGGCUAACUCCGUGCCAGCAGACGCGGUAAUUC